CCACUGUUCCCUGAACAAGGCAGUUUAACCCACUGUUCCCCUGAACAAGGCAGUUUAACCCACUGUUCCCCUGAACAAGGCAGUCAACCCACUGUUCCCCUGAACAAGGCAGUCAACCCACUGUUCCCCUGAACAAGGCAGUCAACCCACUGUUCCCCUGAACAAGGCAGUCAACCCACUGUUCCCCUGAACAAGGCAGUUAACCCACUGUUCCCCCGAGAACAAGGCAGUUAACCCACGGUUCCCCUGAGAACAAGGCAGUUUAACCCACGGUUCCCCUGAGAACAAGGCAUUUAACCCACUGUUCCCCUGAACAAGGCAGUUUAACCCACUGUUCCCCUGAGAACAAGGCAGUUUAACCCACCGUUCCCCUGAGAACAAGGCAGUUUAACCCACCGUUCCCCUGAGAACAAGGCAGUUUAACCCACUGUUCCCCUGAGAACAAGGCAGUUUAACCCACUGUUCCCCUGAGAACAAGGCAGUUUAACCCACCGUUCCCCUGAGAACAAGGCAGUUAACCCACUGUUCCCCUGAGAACAAGGCAGUUAACCCACCGUUCCCCUGAGAACAAGGCAGUUAACCCACUGUUCCCAUUCUAAGCCGUCAUUGUAAAUAAUAAUUUGUUCUUAACUGACUUGCCUGGUUAAAUAAAUAAAUAAAUGAAAUGUAAUCUUUUAUGACAUACGUAUUAUGAUGCUGGGAGUCAAAUGUCACCACCAUUUGGAUAUUAGAGCGAUGAUGUCAGUCACACCAGAUUGUCUUUGUCUGUCUCUGCAACACGGAGCUUCUCAAAUCAUGUUACCGUUCCUGCCAAAAGGAACUGUCCGUCUGUCCUUCUGUGACACUGUGAGCUUCUCAGUUAGAGAUGUGACACUGUGAGCUUCUCAGAUAGAGAUGUGACACUGUGAGCUUCUCAGAUAGAGAUGUGACACCGUGAGCUUCUCAGAUAGAGAUGUGACACCGUGAGCUUCUCAGAUAGAGAUGUGACACUGUGAGCUUCUCAGAUAGAGAUGUGACACUGUGAGCUUCUCAGAUAGAGAUGUGACACUGUGAGCUUCUCAGAUAGAGAUGUGACACUGUGAGCUUCUCAGAUAGAGAUGUGACACCGUGAGCUUCUCAGAUAGAGAUGUGACACUGUGAGCUUCUCAGAUAGAGAUGUGACACUGUGAGCUUCUCAGAUAGAGAUGUGACACCGUGAGCUUCUCAGAUAGAGAUGUGACACCGUGAGCUUCUCAGAUAGAGAUGUGACACCGUGAGCUUCUCAGAUAGAGAUGUGACACCGUGAGCUUCUCAGAUAGAGAUGUGACACCGUGAGCUUCUCAGAUAGAGAUGUGACACUGAGCUUCUCAGAUAGAGAUGUGACACUGAGCUUCUCAGAUAGAGAUGUGACACUGAGCUUCUCAGAUAGAGAUGCAAUUUUUGGGGGGUUUUAAUUGACAACAACUGUGACCACAUGACACGAUGGACACACGUUAGAAUGUUACCAAAUACUGUUACAUGUUCUGCCAAUCAGGUCUGUUCUCUUUUCAGGCCCUACUCUCGGUUUCAUCCUGACGCCAACAUAUAUCCCUACUGUCCUACACUGUGGAGUGAGUCCUGUCUACUGAGGCGAUGUUAUGUCACUAUUAGAUCAAUUACAUUUGAGUGAUGUGUUUUGUGUUGCUCAUUAGUGUUAUGAGAGAGUGAUGUGUUUUGUGUUGCUCAUUAGUGUUAUGAGAGAGUGAUGUGUUUUGUAUUGCUCAUUAGUGUUAUGAGAGAGUGAUGUGUUUUGUGUUGCUCAUUAGUGUUAUGAGAGAAUGAUGUGUUUUCUAAGCUUUUACCCAAAGAACUUCCACUUCACACCUUUUUACAAUCUGUCGGCUUGUAUUUUUCAUAUUCUCUAAGUGUAUUUUCUAUGUAUUGCUUUUGUAUACAACACAGACUGUACUACUACAGUAUUAGUGUUUUUUUAUGAUUUAUUACGAUUUCAGGAUGAUCAACUAUAAACAUCAGGGAACCAUGUUUAGUUUAGAAUGCUGGUUUAUUAUUGUAUAAAAACAUUUUAGUUUGUAUGAUAAACCUCUGAACUACCA
Oncorhynchus keta (chum salmon) is the source of this 2072-nucleotide long non-coding RNA. RefSeq lists it as uncharacterized. The record is from RefSeq and is a predicted model, not a curated record. The transcript is spliced from 2 exons. NCBI's taxonomy places the organism in Eukaryota, Metazoa, Chordata, Actinopteri, Salmoniformes, Salmonidae.